Molecule: ribosomal RNA, 371 nt
Filed under: uncultured organism
Description: bacterial SSU rRNA
Rfam family: Bacterial small subunit ribosomal RNA
Source: RNAcentral
CAGAGGGUGCGAGCGUUAAUCGGAAUUACUGGGCGUAAAGCGCGCGUAGGCGGCUUUGCAAGUCGGGUGUGAAAUCCCCAGGCUUAACCUGGGAACUGCAUUCGAGACUGCAUUGCUAGAGUAUGGAAGAGGGAAGUGGAAUUUCAGGUGUAGCGGUGAAAUGCGUAGAUAUCUGAAGGAACAUCAGUGGCGAAAGCGACUUCCUGGACCAAUACUGACGCUCAUGUGCGAAAGCGUGGGGAGCAAACAGGAUUAGAUACCCUGGUAGUCCACGCCAUAAACGAUGAGAACUGGAUGUCGGGAGGGUCUGCCUCUCGGUGUCGUAGCUAACGCGUUAAGUUCUCCGCCUGGGGAGUACGGCCGCAAGGUUG